This 601-nucleotide ribosomal RNA is filed under the name Pella humeralis. Its description in RNAcentral is "partial 16S ribosomal RNA". It matches the Rfam family "Bacterial large subunit ribosomal RNA", at positions 1836 to 2713 of the family's 2925-position model. The record is from RNAcentral. Lineage: Eukaryota; Metazoa; Arthropoda; Insecta; Coleoptera; Staphylinidae.
AGAUAAUAAUUUAAAGUCUAGCCUGCCCAAUGAGGAUUUAAAUGGCCGCAGUAUUUUGACUGUGCAAAGGUAGCAUAAUCAUUAGUUUCUUAAUUAGGAACUGGAAUGAAAGGUUGGACGAGAAAAUAACUGUCUCUUUAUAAAUUUUUUAGAAUUUUAUUUUUAAGUUAAAAAGCUUAAAUAUAUUUAAAAGACGAGAAGACCCUAUAGAGUUUUAUUAAUUUAUUAAUAAAAUUGUGUAUAGAAUUUUUUAAACUUUAUUAUUAAAUUAAUUUAAUUGGGGUGAUUAAAAAAUUUAAUAAACUUUUUUUAAAUUAAAACAUUAAUUUAUGAUUAUUUGAUCCAUUAUUAUGAUUAUAAGAUUAAAUUACCUUAGGGAUAACAGCGUAAUUUCUUUUUAGAGUUCUAAUCGAUAAAGAAGUUUGCGACCUCGAUGUUGGAUUAAAAUUAAUUUUUGGUGUAGAAGCUAAAAUAUUAGGUCUGUUCGACCUUUAAAAUUUUACAUGAUCUGAGUUUAAACCGGUGUGAGCCAGGUUGGUUUCUAUCUUUAAAUAAAUUUUAUGUUUUAGUACGAAAGGACCAAAUAUUAUAAAUAUUUUAU